This 85-nucleotide transfer RNA is filed under the name Candidatus Beckwithbacteria bacterium GW2011_GWC1_49_16. RNAcentral's name for it is "tRNA-Leu". It matches the Rfam family "tRNA". From Rfam's summary of the family: Transfer RNA (tRNA) molecules are approximately 80 nucleotides in length. Their secondary structure includes four short double-helical elements and three loops (D, anti-codon, and T loops). The record is from RNAcentral. Lineage: Bacteria; Candidatus Beckwithiibacteriota.
GCCAGGGUGUUGGAACCGGUAGACAAGCACGACUCAAAAUCGUGUGGGCCAUUGACCCAUGAGGGUUCGAUUCCCUCCCCUGGCA